UAGCACUUCAAAUUUCUUGCAUAACAAUGAGGAAAAUAUAAGUACUUUGAUGACUUUGAGGCGUUAAUUUAUUUGCAAUCGGGAGUUAAUUAUCAUACAGCGAGUUGUAUAAAACCGGUGACAGAAGUCAACAUUGAUUCAGAAGAACUUUGUCCAAGUAUUUCACUUUAGUCAGACAUUUUUACAAGUUAUGAACGCAGGGCUUGUAGCUGGUGUGCUUCUUAUUGUUGUUUAUUCACUUGUCGAAGGGCAGGUACCUGGCCCGUGCAAUGGCGAUCCCGACCUUGUCUGCAAUAUCACGAACCCCUGUAUGUACGCCGGGGAGGAAUGUGUAGACGGAUGCUGUACGGACGUAACCGCAACAACCCCCUCCACCACGUGUUCUGACCCGGAGUUCAGUUGCUAUGACUCCAACGGCACCUUCCAGUGCUAUGAGGGUGAGACUUGUGACGUUACCGGAUGUUGUGUUGACGUCACGACAGCAGCUCCAUAAAGGCCGCUAUACUUAGUCCCACGGGGAGCGCUGGUCGGCGCGUGGGGAUACCCACGAGUGACUUAAUUCAUCAGGGGUGGUGGAAGUGCUCUCUAGUUUGUGAACUUUUUUGUUGAAAUGUUGUCUCUGUUAUUUAUAUUUAUCAAUAAAACUAAAAAACUCUCA
This is a long non-coding RNA of Magallana angulata, 658 nucleotides long. RefSeq lists it as uncharacterized. Lineage: Eukaryota; Metazoa; Mollusca; Bivalvia; Ostreida; Ostreidae. The transcript has 2 exons. The record is from RefSeq and is a predicted model, not a curated record.